Molecule: non-coding RNA, 637 nt
Organism: Prunus mume (Japanese apricot)
Lineage: Eukaryota; Viridiplantae; Streptophyta; Magnoliopsida; Rosales; Rosaceae
Source: RefSeq, a predicted model, not a curated record
AAGCCAACAUUUUCUCUUUCUUUUCUGUUCGUCUCCUCUUCUCAGAACCCUAACUAAGCCAAGCACUGCCAUAACCUCCAUCUUCUUCUCUAUAUGCAUGGAGCGUACGGAGCUUGCUGUUGAGAACAACGAUCUGCCUCGUUCUCCGCCGGAUCUUGCCGUUGAGGAGAACAACGAUCUGGGACUCUCUGAGGUUGCUUUCGAUAUACACAAGAAGCUGGAUAAGCUUGUCUGGAUUAUGGCAGGCAGGAAUUCGCUUUCCCCUCCUUCGCAGGAGCCACCGACUGACUGUGAAAUUGGCAAUCCGGAGCUGUUCGAGAUUCUUUGGAAGGCGAGUGGGAAGCUUGAUGUACUAUUAUUGCUCAUGUCGAGCAAGGAGCAAGGACUGAAGGCAUAACUCUAAGUUCCAAAGCCUUAUUAUGACUUGUUUUAUUCCAUUAUUACUACUGCGUUUCUUGUUAGAAAUAUGUUAAGACUUUCCAUGGGUUGUAUAAAUUUGAUAGUAUGUGUUUUGUGGAAUUUGAUACCACAAGACUCGUCGACCUUAUGACAUUACACCAAAAUUAUUUUGUGUAAACAAAGACUUUAUUGGGUCUGUUUUGACCUUCAGAUGAUUUCAAUAGUAAAAAAACUAGUA